This 45-nucleotide non-coding RNA is filed under the name Schistosoma mattheei. The record is from RNAcentral. Lineage: Eukaryota; Metazoa; Platyhelminthes; Trematoda; Strigeidida; Schistosomatidae.
AUCCUGUUGACGAGUCCUAAAUAGGACGAAACGUGCAUCCCAGAU